AAUUGUGCCUGUAGAGAUGCCCGACCAAGCCGGAGGGUUUCAGAGAUGGCGACAAUAUCAAUCUGGAAUCUUCUCAGCUCUCGGGCGAUGAUGGCAGUAAGCCAUUCGGGUUAAUUGCUGGAUUGAUUGUCCAUGAGGGUUCGUAUGUUCCAGCUUCAAAAUAUACGUGUUUCUGUUUCUGACCACAUGGUGGUGAUCCCUCUGGAAGGAGUGGUCCAGACAAGAGAUUGUGUCUAGGAGCUGCCAGACUUCACUGUCCUGCUCCAUCACCUUUUCCUGAGAUGACAGCGGACUUCAGGAGGAGCCCCCCCCCCAACACCCCCCCGACCAUACUCAACAGCACAGGGUCUACGGUGAAAACCUACAUAUUUCUGGGUUCCACAAUCUCCCUGGAUCUGAGAUGGGCAUCCAACAUAGAUAGACACAAUCAUCACAAAGGCCCAGCAGAGAAUAUACUUUCUCCGCCAGCUCAAGAAAUUCAACCUGCCUCAGGAACUGUUGAUUCCGUUCUACACUGCAAUAAUCCAGUCUGCCCUCUGCACAUCCAUUACUGUCUGGUUUAGUUCGCCCACCAAACAGGACAGGGACAGACUAUAACUGACAGUUAGGUCGGCAGAGAAAAUGAUUGGUGCCGCCUGCCCUUCUUUCAGGACUUAUACCCCUCCAGACUCAGGAAACAGGCAGGGAACGUCAUUGCAGACCCAUAAUACCCUGGUCACAACCUGUUCCAACUCCUCCCCUUUGGCAGGCGCUACAGAGCACUGUACCCCAAAACAACCUGAUAUAAAAACAGUUUCUUUCCACAGGCUGUCAUUCAAAUGAACGCUUAACACUGUCAAUAAAGCCAGCCUUUUUAAACAUUUUGUAUAUACUGUACAUUGUACAUAUUAAUGGCGAGUGGUCAUAAUAAGCUGUAAAUGCGGUGCAUGCCCAAGGCAUUUGAAAAUGACCUGAGAAUUUACAUACAAUACAAUAAUGAAUUGAAAAUCUAUUUCUAAUAAGUAACAUGAGCAUUAUUUACAU
Lampris incognitus (smalleye Pacific opah) is the source of this 1023-nucleotide long non-coding RNA. RefSeq lists it as uncharacterized. The record is from RefSeq and is a predicted model, not a curated record. Lineage: Eukaryota; Metazoa; Chordata; Actinopteri; Lampriformes; Lampridae. The transcript has 3 exons.